Papilio machaon (common yellow swallowtail) is the source of this 314-nucleotide long non-coding RNA. RefSeq lists it as uncharacterized. The transcript is spliced from 3 exons. NCBI's taxonomy places the organism in Eukaryota, Metazoa, Arthropoda, Insecta, Lepidoptera, Papilionidae. The record is from RefSeq and is a predicted model, not a curated record.
GAAAGAGAAACUGCAAUAAACAUUUACGCUCUUGUGAUACAGAAGAUGAAUCGACGCCUAUACAAAAAAAAACUAAAAGUAGAAAGAAGAUAAUAUCAUCGUCAAGUUCUUCUGAUAAUGAGGAUAGCGGAAUAAAUAAUAUACCAAUGCCACCUGCCACGUACGUGAACCAAAAGGAUCAGCAACUACCACCAACAUUUAAAACUCCUAUAUCAUUACUUGAGCCGUAAAAGUAUUUGUAAUUUUAAUAAUAAGAUUAUUUAUAUUGGUAUGUAAUAUCGUUACUAUUCAUUGUGUUAUCAAAUAAACAAUAA